Molecule: ribosomal RNA, 117 nt
Filed under: Sinocyclocheilus grahami
Lineage: Eukaryota; Metazoa; Chordata; Actinopteri; Cypriniformes; Cyprinidae
Source: RNAcentral
UGGGGGGGGCAUAUCACCCUGGAGCCCAAGACUGGUUGCCCACUGAAGCUAAGCAGGGUUGAGCCUGGUCAGUACCUGGAUGAGAGACUUCCUGGGAAAACUAGGUUGCUGUUGGAA